This 221-nucleotide ribosomal RNA is filed under the name uncultured bacterium. RNAcentral's name for it is "partial 16S ribosomal RNA". It matches the Rfam family "Bacterial small subunit ribosomal RNA", at positions 122 to 334 of the family's 1533-position model. The record is from RNAcentral.
UGACCUGGCCUGAAGUGAGGGAUACCGGCGAGAAAUCGCCGACAAGCCCGCAUAGGUUCUUUUGCGUAGAGGCAAGAGAGCAAAGGUCCUCUGAAAGGAGGGCUGCUUUGGGAUGGGCCUGUGGCCGAUUAGCUAGUUGGGGGGGUAAGCGCCUCCCAAGGCGACGAUCGGUAGCUGGUCUGAGAGGACGAUCAGCCACACUGGGAUUGAGAACGGCCCAG